This 752-nucleotide ribosomal RNA is filed under the name Paenibacillus sp. Its description in RNAcentral is "bacterial SSU rRNA". It matches the Rfam family "Bacterial small subunit ribosomal RNA", at positions 57 to 790 of the family's 1533-position model. Lineage: Bacteria; Bacillati; Bacillota; Bacilli; Caryophanales; Paenibacillaceae. The record is from RNAcentral.
GCAGUCGAGCGGACUUGAUGGAGUGCUUGCACUCCUGAGAGUUAGCGGCGGAAGGGUGAGUAACACGUAGGUCACCUGCCCAUAAGACUGGGAUAACCCACGGAAACGUGAGCUAAUACCAGAUAGGCGUUUUCCUCGCAGGAGGGAAAUGAGAAAGGCGGAGCAAUCUGUCAUUUAUGGAUGGACCUGCGGCGCAGUAGCUAGUUGGUGAGGUAACGGCUCACCAAGGCGACGAUACGUAGCCCACCUGAGAGGGUGAUCGGCCACACUGGGACUGAGACACGGCCCAGACUCCUACGGGAGGCAGCAGUAGGGAAUCUUCCGCAAUGGACGAAAGUCUGACGGAGCAACGCCCCGUGAGUGAUGAAGGUUUUCGGAUCGUAAAGCUCUGUUGCCAGGGAAGAACGCCUAGGAGAGUAACUGCUCCUAGGGUGACGGUACCUGAGAAGAAAGCCCCGGCUAACUACGUGCCAGCAGCCGCGGUAAUACGUAGGGGGCGAGCGUUGUCCGGAAUUAUUGGGCGUAAAGCGCGCGCAGGCGGCAAUGUAAGUUGGGUGUUUAAACCUAGGGCUCAACCUUGGGUCGCAUCCAAAACUGCAUAGCGUGAGUACAGAAGAGGAAAGUGGAAUUCCACGUGUAGCGGUGAAAUGCGUAGAGAUGUGGAGGAACACCAGUGGCGAAGGCGACUUUCUGGGCUGUAACUGACGCUGAGGCGCGAAAGCUUGGGGAGCACACAGGAUUAAAUACACUGG